GACGAACCGUGCAAACGUUGUUCGGAAUCACUGGGCUUAAAGGGCGCGUAGGCGGCUGAUCCAGUCCGGGGUGAAAUCUUUCGGCUCAACCGGAAAAGGGCCUUGGAUACUGAUCAGCUUGAGGGAGGUAGGGGCAGGUGGAACUUCCGGUGGAGCGGUGAAAUGCGUUGAUAUCGGAAGGAACGCCGGUGGCGAAAGCGGCCUGCUGGACCUCCACUGACGCUGAGGCGCGAAAGCCAGGGGAGCAAAC
Molecule: ribosomal RNA, 250 nt
Filed under: uncultured bacterium
Lineage: Bacteria
Description: partial 16S ribosomal RNA
Rfam family: Bacterial small subunit ribosomal RNA
Source: RNAcentral